CCUAUAGCACUUCUUAGUGUGUUUUUGUCAAUCGCAGUCGUCUCCUCACCUAGUACUACUUCUUUAUUCUGGUCAUUUUCUCCCUUUUGGGGGUAGAAUUU
This 101-nucleotide non-coding RNA is filed under the name Heterosigma akashiwo. The record is from RNAcentral. Lineage: Eukaryota; Raphidophyceae; Chattonellales; Chattonellaceae.